RNAcentral lists this transfer RNA (90 nucleotides) under compost metagenome. Its description in RNAcentral is "tRNA-Leu". It matches the Rfam family "tRNA". Rfam says of the family: Transfer RNA (tRNA) molecules are approximately 80 nucleotides in length. Their secondary structure includes four short double-helical elements and three loops (D, anti-codon, and T loops). Further hydrogen bonds mediate the characteristic L-shaped molecular structure. tRNAs have two regions of fundamental functional importance: the anti-codon, which is responsible for specific mRNA codon recognition, and the 3' end, to which the tRNAs corresponding amino acid is attached (by aminoacyl-tRNA synthetases). tRNAs cope with the degeneracy of the genetic code in two manners: having more than one tRNA (with a specific anti-codon) for a particular amino acid; and 'wobble' base-pairing, i.e. permitting non-standard base-pairing at the 3rd anti-codon position. The record is from RNAcentral.
UGCAUACAUGGCGGAACAGGCAGACGCACAGGACUUAAAAUCCUGGGGUGGGUGACCACCGUCCGGGUUCGACUCCCGGUGUGUGCAUCC